UUUAAGAAUAUGGAGUUUAAGUAAUUCAGUGAGUCUUUUUAUCUUUUGAUAGCUAGGAAAUGGAAUGUGUCAGUCCUCACCAGUGAUGUGCCAUCUGCAGGAACAAGCUCAGAGGUUUAUAUUACAUUGUAUGGGGAUCGUGGCAGUUCGGGUCCUAUUUGGCUUGAUGGAGAGAAGGGAAAAUUAUUUCAGAGAGGCAAUGAAGACAUCUUCACAAUCAAUACUAGAAGCAUAAGACAUCUCUACAAAAUAUGUGUAGGACAUACAAAUGCAGGAAGCUCCCCUGCCUGGCACUGUGAAGAGAUUGCAGAACCUUUUCUCAGGGGAGCAGUUCUCUUUCCCUGCACAUCGAUGGCUGGCCAAAGACCAGGCUGGUGGGGAAAUAUCUGUGGAGCUUCCUGUUUUACAGCAGGGUCAGCCUAUUCUUCCAGGAAAUGGAUGGUUUCUGGACAAAGUUGUAAUGAAGGAUCCUAUAGCAGAUUUGGAUUAUACUUUUCUUUGUCACAGGUGGCUGGACGAGGGACAGGGCAACGGGAAUAUCGCUAGAGAACUGCCUGUGACAGAUGCCAGCGCGUUUCCAGGAAAACUAGUGGGCUGCAGAAAAGUGGAAAUUUCAGAAAGGCAUGACACUUCAAUUUUACAACAGGCUUACCUGUGGCUUCAUUUGCCUUUACCCAGAUGGCAGAGUUGGUGUUCUUGGUGA
This 703-nucleotide long non-coding RNA is filed under the name Corvus moneduloides (New Caledonian crow). Its description in RNAcentral is "lncRNA (ENSCMUG00000012619.2)". The record is from RNAcentral. Lineage: Eukaryota; Metazoa; Chordata; Aves; Passeriformes; Corvidae.